GAUGAACGCUGGCGGCGUGCCUAACACAUGCAAGUCGAGCGAUUUACUUCGGUAAAGAGCGGCGGACGGGUGAGUAACGCGUGGGUAACCUGCCCUGUACACACGGAUAACAUACCGAAAGGUAUGCUAAUACGAGAUAAUAUGCUUUUAUCGCAUGGUAGAAGUAUCAAAGCUUUUGCGGUACAGGAUGGACCCGCGUCUGAUUAGCUAGUUGGUAAGGUAACGGCUUACCAAGGCGACGAUCAGUAGCCGACCUGAGAGGGUGAUCGGCCACAUUGGAACUGAGACACGGUCCAAACUCCUACGGGAGGCAGCAGUGGGAAUAUUGCACAAUGGGCGAAAGCCUGACGCAGCAACGCCGCGUGAGCGAUGAAGGCCUUCGGGUCGUAAAGCUCUGUCCUCGAGGAAGAUAAUGACGGUACUUGAGGAGGAAGCCCCGGCUAACUACGUGCCAGCAGCCGCGGUAA
RNAcentral lists this ribosomal RNA (467 nucleotides) under uncultured bacterium. RNAcentral describes it as "partial 16S ribosomal RNA". It matches the Rfam family "Bacterial small subunit ribosomal RNA", at positions 28 to 523 of the family's 1533-position model. The record is from RNAcentral.